This is a long non-coding RNA of Apis mellifera (honey bee), 1405 nucleotides long. RefSeq lists it as uncharacterized. The record is from RefSeq and is a predicted model, not a curated record. Lineage: Eukaryota; Metazoa; Arthropoda; Insecta; Hymenoptera; Apidae. The transcript has 2 exons.
AAUCCUGAAUAAUUAAAUUAAACUAAUCGAUAAGAAUUAACGAACGAAAAAAAAAAAAAAUUGAUAAAUGAAUGACCUCAGAAGUUCAUCUCGUAUCGAAAAAUCACGAUUAAAAUUCGAGUAUUAAAUUAAACACGAAUAUAUCCACAUCAAUCCUCCUAGAUACGUUUAUUCCACGAAUAUCCCCCAUCAACGCUCGAAGUAUAAUCGAAAAUUAGAAAAAUCGUCGCAUUCUCCCUCGCCAAAAAAAAAGAAAAGAAAAGAAAAAAAACCUCUCAGCGUGUCGUUUCACACGCGCCUAUUUUUCCACCGCCCAUUCUUUUCUCACUUCACAGUAAACCCGCGCUUAAACGUCUCGCCGAGCAAUAUGUCGAGGCGAGGCGUGGGGCGGACAGCUGUGCACGCGGGCGAUUUGAAAAAAAGCACUUCGCACAAAAGGCGAAGAAACAGCGAAGCGAGAACAAUGUGUGAGAGAGAGAGAGAGAGAGAGAGAGAGAGAGGCGGUGGGUUAGAGGAGAUCGGCAAGGUCAAUGGCGAGCAUCUCGCGCGCCAUCUCUUUUUAAUGCGGCGCGCGUGCUACGCGAUUAGCCGUUCGCUUCUGUUCGCUCGUGGCCCACUGUGCUCGUUCCACUCCAUGGACGGAGUGGGGAGAAGAGGAGUGGAGAGGAAGAGGGAAAGGUGAAUAGAGAUAAGAAGAGUGGGGCGAUGGAACAACGGUCGACGAACAGCCGCUCGAAUUCAGUACUUCACCGUGUUUCCCCAUUUCAAUUCGGCUAGAUUAGGAAAAAAGUUUAAACCGAAGUGCUUCUCCGUUUAACUCGUAUCCCCUCUCUGUGUCGUUUUUUCCUAGAAUAGAUGAAAGAUUUUGAUUGGGAUUUGGAAAAAAUCUGGUAUAAAGUGUUUUUCUGGUUCGAAGAGAAGAGAAGUGUGUCGAAAGGUGAUGAAAAAUAUCGAUAGGUUACCACCGAUGUGGAGUUAUUUUUAUAUUUAGAUAAUUCUAAUUUUAAUUGAUAUUUGAGUAUUGGGAAAGGUAUACUUUAAACUGGUAUUUCAAUGAUGGAUAGAGGGCGUGUUAAAAGUGUGAAUAUGGAAUACGUGCAAUGCUGAAUAUUAAUCGAUUCUGUUUUUAAAACGUUUCCCGAUUUUUAUCGGGAUUUGAGAUUUUGGAAGCUAUUAUAAAAUAUACUCGUUUUCGCUUUGCUUCGAACGUAGAAGCGCGAAUGUGGAAUUAGAAUGAAGAGUGGCGGAAAUAGUGCCGUUCGAAUCCUGUUUUCGCAUUUUUCCCGAUUUUAAUUAGAAUUACUCGCUUAACUCGUUUCUGUGCGUGCUUCGAAAAAGGUGUACAAACGUGAAAUGUGUUCAAAACAGUGAAUGUAGAAUAUGUAAAAUUAGAAUUAAAAAAUAA